AGAGCGAACGCUGGCGGCAGGCCUAACACAUGCAAGUCGAGCGCCGUAGCAAUACGGAGCGGCAGACGGGAGAGUAACACGUGGGAACGUACCCUUUGGUUCGGAACAACCCAGGGAAACUUGGGCUAAUACCGAAUAAGCCCUUACGGGGAAAGAUUUAUCGCCGAAGGAUCGGCCCGCGUCUGAUUAGCUAGUUGGUGGGGUAACGGCCCACCAAGGCGACGAUCAGUAGCUGGUCUGAGAGGAUGAUCAGCCUCAUUGGGACUGAGACACGGCCCAAACUCCUACGGGAGGCAGCAGUGGGGAAUAUUGGACAAUGGGCGCAAGCCUGAUCCAGCCAUGCCGCGUGGGUGAUGAAGGCCCUAGGGUUGUAAAGCCCUUUCGGCGGGGAAGAUAAUGACGGUACCCGCAGAAGAACGCCCCGGCUAACUUCGUGCCAGCAGCCGC
This 447-nucleotide ribosomal RNA is filed under the name uncultured bacterium. Its description in RNAcentral is "SSU rRNA". It matches the Rfam family "Bacterial small subunit ribosomal RNA", at positions 26 to 518 of the family's 1533-position model. The record is from RNAcentral.